This 150-nucleotide non-coding RNA is filed under the name Marinobacter nanhaiticus. RNAcentral's name for it is "FMN sequence". It matches the Rfam family "FMN riboswitch aptamer (RFN element)". Rfam says of the family: The RFN element is a highly conserved domain that is found frequently in the 5'-untranslated regions of prokaryotic mRNAs that encode for flavin mononucleotide (FMN) biosynthesis and transport proteins. This element is a metabolite-dependent riboswitch that directly binds FMN in the absence of proteins. The record is from RNAcentral. Lineage: Bacteria; Pseudomonadati; Pseudomonadota; Gammaproteobacteria; Pseudomonadales; Marinobacteraceae.
UUUCGUUCUCAGGGCGGGGUGAAAGUCCCCACCGGCGGUGAUGGCGUUUACGCCUCAGCCCGCGAGCGCCUUGCGGCUUUACCGUGAGGGUCAGCAGAUUCGGUGUGAUUCCGAAGCCGACGGUGAUAGUCCGGAUGAAAGAGAAGGAAC